This 253-nucleotide ribosomal RNA is filed under the name uncultured bacterium. RNAcentral describes it as "partial 16S ribosomal RNA". It matches the Rfam family "Bacterial small subunit ribosomal RNA", at positions 524 to 776 of the family's 1533-position model. The record is from RNAcentral.
GACAGAGGGUGCAAACGUUGUUCGGAAUUACUGGGCGUAAAGCGCACGUAGGCGGCUUUGUAAGUUAGAGGUGAAAGCCCGGGGCUCAACCCCGGAAUUGCCUUUAAGACUGCAUCGCUUGAAUCCGGGAGAGGUGAGUGGGAUUCCGAGUGUAGAGGUGAAAUUCGUAGAUAUUCGGAAGAACACCAGUGGCGAAGGCGGCUCACUGGACCGGUAUUGACGCUGAGGUGCGAAAGCGUGGGGAGCAAACAGG